ACAUAACACUCCCCAAUGCGACAAAGGACUAGAUCUGUGUUGGAGUUGGGUUUGU
RNAcentral lists this microRNA precursor (55 nucleotides) under Ciona intestinalis (vase tunicate). RNAcentral's name for it is "microRNA cin-mir-4121 precursor". The record is from miRBase by way of RNAcentral. Lineage: Eukaryota; Metazoa; Chordata; Ascidiacea; Phlebobranchia; Cionidae.